Molecule: ribosomal RNA, 235 nt
Filed under: uncultured bacterium
Lineage: Bacteria
Description: partial 16S ribosomal RNA
Rfam family: Bacterial small subunit ribosomal RNA
Source: RNAcentral
AGCAAAUCCCAAAAAUAACGUCUCAGUUCGGAUUGUAGUCUGCAACUCGACUACAUGAAGCUGGAAUCGCUAGUAAUCGCAGAUCAGAAUGCUGCGGUGAAUACGUUCCCGGGUCUUGUACACACCGCCCGUCACACCAUGGGAGUCGGAAAUGCCCGAAGUCAGUGACCCAACCGCAAGGAGGGAGCUGCCGAAGGUGGAGCCGGUAACUGGGGUGAAGUCGUAACAAGGUACC